CCUACGGGAGGCAGCAGUGGGGAAUAUUGCACAAUGGGCGAAAGCCUGAUGCAGCGACGCCGCGUGAGGGAUGACGGCCUUCGGGUUGUAAACCUCUUUCAGCAGGGAAGAAGCGAAAGUGACGGUACCUGCAGAAGAAGCGCCGGCUAACUACGUGCCAGCAGCCGCGGUAAUACGUAGGGCGCAAGCGUUGUCCGGAAUUAUUGGGCGUAAAGAGCUCGUAGGCGGCUUGUUGCGUCGGUUGUGAAAGCCCGGGGCUUAACCCCGGGUCUGCAGUCGAUACGGGCAGGCUAGAGUGUGGUAGGGGAGAUCGGAAUUCCUGGUGUAGCGGUGAAAUGCGCAGAUAUCAGGAGGAACACCGGUGGCGAAGGCGGAUCUCUGGGCCAUUACUGACGCUGAGGAGCGAAAGCGUGGGGAGCGAACAGGAUUAGAUACCCUGGUAGUCCACGCCGUAAACGUUGGGAACUAGGUGUUGGCGACAUUCCACGUCGUCGGUGCCGCAGCUACGACAUUAACGUUACCCGUCCCGUCGGGUAGGUACGGCCGGCCGACGGACGUAAACCUACAAUAGAAGUUAGACGGCGUGAGACGUGCCGACGGACGACGACGAGGGAGGUAGG
Molecule: ribosomal RNA, 620 nt
Filed under: uncultured bacterium
Lineage: Bacteria
Description: bacterial SSU rRNA
Rfam family: Bacterial small subunit ribosomal RNA (bases 1-526)
Source: RNAcentral